RNAcentral lists this ribosomal RNA (467 nucleotides) under uncultured bacterium. RNAcentral describes it as "partial 16S ribosomal RNA". It matches the Rfam family "Bacterial small subunit ribosomal RNA", at positions 28 to 507 of the family's 1533-position model. The record is from RNAcentral.
GACGAACGCUGGCGGCGUGCUUAACACAUGCAAGUCGAACGGAAAGGCCUCUUUCGGGGGGUACUCGAGUGGCGAACGGGUGAGUAACACGUGAGUAACUUGCCCUUGACUUUGGGAUAACUUCAGGAAACUGGGGCUAAUACAGGAUAGGAGCUCCUGCUGCAUGGUGGGGGUUGGAAAGUUUCGGCGGUUGGGGAUGGACUCGCGGCUUAUCAGCUUGUUGGUGGGGUAGUGGCUUACCAAGGCUUUGACGGGUAGCCGGCCUGAGAGGGUGACCGGCCACAUUGGGACUGAGAGACGGCCCAGACUCCUACGGGAGGCAGCAGUGGGGAAUAUUGCACGAGGGGUGGAGGCCUGAUGCAGCAACGCCGUGUGCGGGAUGACGGCCUUCUGGUUGUAAACCGCUUUCGCUCAUGACGAAGCUUUGUGUGACGGUAGUGGGUAAAGAAGCACCGGCUAACUACGUG